Molecule: non-coding RNA, 666 nt
Organism: Paramuricea clavata
Lineage: Eukaryota; Metazoa; Cnidaria; Anthozoa; Malacalcyonacea; Plexauridae
Source: the annotation of a GenBank genome assembly
AGACUUGUCCACAAAUUUUAUUUAUUUUACUACUGAAACAUAUAGAUACCAUUUAAAGACGAAUUUAGUUUGGAGCUAUUUUAAAAAGACAUACAGAUAGUAAUUAUAACAAACUAUAAAUUGAGUUGUAAUACAGGCAUGAAUACUCAUCCCAUGUACUGGCUGCCCAAACGUACAACUCUCUUUCAUUACUAGAUACUAGUUUUGAGAUCGAUAACUAUCAAUACUACAAAUGCUAAUGCCCGAUAAAGUUUUUCUAAAAAUGGAACAUUCACGAUUUAGAUCCGUAUUUUUGGAGAAUUAUUAUUUGUUGAAACACAAAAAGAAUCUUACUGAUGUAAAACAACAUCUAAAGGGUUUGAAAUUUUUCACAAAAAAUUAUGCAACUGCCGUUGCUAUGGCGACAAUGACGUUUUAAAAUGGCGGAUAUUAUGGCUUUAAAGUAAUUUGUGUAGGUUCGAGUGCAAUUUGAGAUAAACAUGCACGAGUGAGUUUUUCAAAGAGGAUCAAAAUUGCACAAGUCCAAAGGACGAGUGCAAAUUGAAGUGUUUGAAAAACUCACGAGUGUAUGUCUUUCCAAAUUGCACGAGAAACCAUACUAUUACUUAUUAAGAGGAGAUUUUUCUGUAUGUCACGUAACAAGCGCUCAAAACUAAUACCUAUAAU